RNAcentral lists this ribosomal RNA (895 nucleotides) under uncultured archaeon. RNAcentral's name for it is "bacterial SSU rRNA". It matches the Rfam family "Archaeal small subunit ribosomal RNA", at positions 21 to 924 of the family's 1478-position model. The record is from RNAcentral.
ACCUGACUGCUAUCGGAUUGAUACUAAGCCAUGCGAGUCUUUGUAGUAAUACAAGGCAGACGGCUCAGUAACACGUAGUCAACCUACCCUAUGGACGAGAAUAAUCUCGGGAAACUGAGCAUAAUUCUUGAUAGAUCAUAAUGCCUGGAAUGGUUUAUGGUUAAAAUGAUUCGUCGCCAUAGGAUGGGACUGCGGCCUAUCAGCUUGUCGGUGAGGUAAUGGCCCACCAAGGCGAUUACAGGUACGGGCUCUGAGAGGAGAAGCCCGGAGAUGGGUACUGAGACACGGACCCAGGCCCUAUGGGGCGCAGCAGGCGAGAAAACUUUGCAAUGUGCGAAAGCACGACAAGGUUAAUCCGAGUGAUUUCUGCUAAAGAAAUCUUUUGCCAGUCAUAAAACCGCUGGUGAAUAAGGGGUGGGCAAGUUCUGGUGUCAGCCGCCGCGGUAAAACCAGCACCUCAAGUGGUCAGGAUGAUUAUUGGGCCUAAAGCAUCCGUAGCCGGCUUUGUAAGUUUUCGGUUAAAUCCAUGUGCUCAACGCAUGGGCUGCCGAAAAUACUGCAUAGCUAGGGAGUGGGAGAGGUAGACGGUACUCGAUAGGUAGGGGUAAAAUCCUUUGAUCUAUUGAUGACCACCUGUGGCGAAGGCGGUCUACCAGAACACGUUCGACGGUGAGGGAUGAAAGCUGGGGGAGCAAACCGGAUUAGAUACCCGGGUAGUCCCAGCUGUAAACUAUGCAAACUCAGUGAUGCAUUGGCUUGUGGCCAAUGCAGUGCUGCAGGGAAGCCGUUAAGUUUGCCGCCUGGGAAGUACGUACGCAAGUAUGAAACUUAAAGGAAUUGGCGGGGGAGCACCACAAGGGGUGAAGCCUGCGGUUCAUUGGAUUCACGCCGGGAA